Molecule: ribosomal RNA, 530 nt
Filed under: uncultured Nitrososphaerota archaeon
Lineage: Archaea; Thermoproteati; Nitrososphaerota
Description: bacterial SSU rRNA
Rfam family: Archaeal small subunit ribosomal RNA
Source: RNAcentral
UCUGGUGUCAGCCGCCGCGGUAAAACCAGCACCUCAAGUGGUCAGGAUGAUUAUUGGGCCUAAAGCAUCCGUAGCCUGCUUUGUUAGUUUUCGGUUAAAUCCAUACGCUCAACGUAUGGGCUGCCGGGAAUACUGCAAAGCUAGGGAGUGGGAGAGGUAGACGGUACUCGGUAGGAAGGGGUAAAAUCCUUUGAUCUAUUGAUGACCACCUGUGGCGAAGGCGGUCUACCAGAACACGUCCGACGGUGAGGGAUGAAAGCUGGGGGAGCAGACCGGAUUAGAUACCCGGGUAGUCCCAGCUGUAAACUAUGCAAACUCGGUGAUGCAUUGGCUUGAUGCCAAUGCAGUGCCGCAGGGAAGCCGUUAAGUUUGCCGCCUGGGAAGUACGUACGCAAGUAUGAAACUUAAAGGAAUUGGCGGGGGAGCACCACAAGGGGUGAAGCCUGCGGUUCAAUUGGAGUCAACGCCAGAAAUCUUACCCGGAGAGACAGCAGAAUGAAGGUCAAGCUGAAGACUUUACCAGACAAGCU